Long non-coding RNA from Magnolia sinica, 758 nucleotides. RefSeq lists it as uncharacterized. The transcript has 3 exons. Lineage: Eukaryota; Viridiplantae; Streptophyta; Magnoliopsida; Magnoliales; Magnoliaceae. The record is from RefSeq and is a predicted model, not a curated record.
UGAAGUACGCGAUGCUGUUGGGUUCACGCAAAGUGGGGCCACGUUCAUUGAUCCAGACCUCUCAUAUGAGUGGGCUGCUUGAAUCAUGCUCAAGAUUCUCUCAACUACAUACAUCAGGUUUUCUCGGGAGAGGCUCCCUCUCUCUACAUACAUCAGGUUUUCUCAGGAGAUGCUCAUCUGCAGGUCUCUCUCUCUCUCUCUCUCUCUCUCUCUCUCUCUCUCUACAUACAUACAUCAGGUUCUCUCUGGAGAGGAGACGAAUGCAAGACAUGGAUUCUCUUCUUUCGAGUAAAAGAGUGUUUCAAUUCAAAAGAAGAAGGAAAAUAAGCCCUCUCAUGGAGGGCUUCUACUUCCAUCUCUGCCGGGAAUUUCAUCACCCUCCGAAACUGAGAUCUGCCUCCCAUCACAGGCAUUCGUUUCACGCCUUCCGAUCAGGAACUGCUGGUUUAUCUCAAGAACAAGAAUCAUGGGCUUCCACAGCCAAUUGAUUUGAUCCAUGAAUAUAAUAUCUAUACAUGUCGCCCAGAUCAACUUCCACGAAAUUUCUUCUAUGGGAAGGGCAACGAGUUGUACUUCUUUGUCACAAGAGAUUUGACAAAAUCUAGGAUGCCGCGCAAUGUGGAAAAUGGUUACGGUUUUUGGAGGUCAACUGGAAAUAUUGAACUAGUAAGAGACCAAGAUCAUGUAGUCAUUGGCAAAAAGAGGACCUUUAAUUUUUUCAAAUGCAAACCAAAACGGGAAAAAACAAAUUGGGUGAU